RNAcentral lists this ribosomal RNA (407 nucleotides) under uncultured bacterium. Its description in RNAcentral is "partial 16S ribosomal RNA". It matches the Rfam family "Bacterial small subunit ribosomal RNA", at positions 28 to 526 of the family's 1533-position model. The record is from RNAcentral.
GACGAACGCUGGCGGCGUGCCUAAUACAUGCCAGUAGGACGCAGUUGCGAACGGGUGAGUAACGCGUUGGUAACUGCCUAUUAGAGGGGGAUAACUAUUGGAAACGAUAGCUAAUACCGCAUACUAGUCGAUGGCCCUGCGUUGUAUUAGCUAGUCGGUAGGGUAAUGGCCUACCUAGGCAACGAUACAUAGCCGACCUGGGAGGGUGAUCGGCCAAACUGGGAAUGGGACAAGGCCCAGAAUCCUACGGGAGGCAGCAGUAGGGAAUCUUCGGCAAUGGGGGGAACCCUGACCGAGCAACGCCGCGUGAGUGAAGAAGGUUUUCGGAUCGUAAAGCUCUGUUGUUAAGGAAGCGGUACUUAACCAGAAAGGGACGGCUAACUACGUGCCAGCAGCCGCGGUAAUAC